CAAAGAUUAGUACUGAGCGAACACGCCAUAUUUUGGCCUUUUUACACGACAUCUAUAAGAGCAUUCCAAAGCCAUUUAGUCAUAUUGAAAACAGCUUUCAAAUUGGAAAGUUUGAUGAAAAAAUUGAAAGGGGUAAUUCUUGAGCAGGACAUGAAUAUCACUUGAUGUUGUGUCAUUUACGAAUAUUCUUAUUAAUAUAACUUUGGAGAGUUUGGAUAACAGAUAUGGACAAAGACACAUGUCUAAGCGACAAAGUUUAUAUAAUUUGUAAUUUUAAUUAUACGUAACAGGAUGAAGGUUUAGUACAACCGGUAAGUUUUUUAAAUUGAAUGCAUGUAGAAAGCGGUUUUGUUAAAAUGAAACUUUGUAUUUAGAUCUUAUAAAUCUUGAUUUGUUAAGAAGAGCCGUUCACAUCUAAUGAAAAACUACUUGAGGUUGACUAAUUGCGUCUACAUUACAAUAAUUGCAUUUAAAUUUUAGAAUAUUAUGCUGAACGUUAUACUGAAGAAUGAAGAUGGCUGAAAAAAGCAGCCGAAACGUCGGAAAUAUACAAGUGAAAAAUAAAGAAGAAUUGUAAUGUACAAUACAUUAAUAAUAACUGUGUGUACUAACUCUUAGUUGCCUAUUGUUUUUGUAAUAUUGGAGUUAAAAUGUUAUCAAUAAAUAAUUGAAAUGAAAUUAAAAUUUA
Molecule: long non-coding RNA, 688 nt
Organism: Acromyrmex echinatior (Panamanian leafcutter ant)
Lineage: Eukaryota; Metazoa; Arthropoda; Insecta; Hymenoptera; Formicidae
Source: RefSeq, a predicted model, not a curated record